Molecule: non-coding RNA, 21 nt
Filed under: Arabidopsis thaliana (thale cress)
Lineage: Eukaryota; Viridiplantae; Streptophyta; Magnoliopsida; Brassicales; Brassicaceae
Source: RNAcentral
UCGACAAUGAUCCUUCCGCAG